UUUAUUAGAAGAGACGCAUUUAUUAGAUAAAAAGCCAAUGCAUGCUUUUACAGUAUGGAAAUUGGUGAUUUAUAAUAACUUGGCAAAUCGCAAAGUGAAAACAGGCGAUAAAUCAUUCAAGUUUCUGACCUAUCAGCUUUCGACGGUAUGGUAUUGGCUUACCGUGGCAGUGACGGUUAACGGGGGAUUAGGGUUCGAUUCCGGAGAGGGAGCCUGAGAAACGGCUACCACAUCUAAGGAAGGCAGCAGGCGCGCAAAUUACCCAAUUCUAACAGUUUGAGAGAGGUAGUAACAAGAAAUAACAAUACAAGGCAAUUAAAAUGYUUUGUAAUUGGAAUGAUAGAAAUUUAAACCCYUUUUAAAGUAUCAAUUGGAGGGCAAGUCUGGUGCCAGCAGCCGCGGUAAUUCCAGCUCCAAUAGMGUAUAUUAAAAUUGUUGCAGUUAAAAAGMUCGUAGUUGAAGUUCUGCUAAAAGUAACCGGUCUGCUUUUAAUAAAAGUGGUAUCUUGGUGUGUAUUUAGCAAUGAUGUCCUUUGAAGUGUUUUUUACUUUAUUGUAAUAAAGCAUAUUCAGGACUUUUACUUUGAGAAAAUUAGAGUGUUUCUAGCAGGCCGACGCUUUGAAUA
This 625-nucleotide ribosomal RNA is filed under the name Hepatozoon canis. RNAcentral's name for it is "bacterial SSU rRNA". It matches the Rfam family "Eukaryotic small subunit ribosomal RNA", at positions 189 to 812 of the family's 1831-position model. Lineage: Eukaryota; Apicomplexa; Hepatozoidae. The record is from RNAcentral.